Molecule: ribosomal RNA, 301 nt
Filed under: uncultured bacterium
Lineage: Bacteria
Description: partial 16S ribosomal RNA
Rfam family: Bacterial small subunit ribosomal RNA
Source: RNAcentral
CAGUCGCCGCGGUAAUACAGAGGGUGCGAGCGUUAAUCGGAUUUACUGGGCGUAAAGCGUGCGUAGGCGGCUUUUUAAGUCGGAUGUGAAAUCCCUGAGCUUAACUUAGGAAUUGCAUUCGAUACUGGGAAGCUAGAGUAUGGGAGAGGAUGGUAGAAUUCCAGGUGUAGCGGUGAAAUGCGUAGAGAUCUGGAGGAAUACCGAUGGCGAAAGCACUCUGCUGGGCCGACACUGACACUGAGAGACGAAAGCUAGGGGAGCAAAUGGGAUUAGAUACCCCGGUAGUCCCUGUCUCUUAUAA